ACAUCCAGCGAAUUCGGUAGAGAUACCUUAGUGCCUUCGGGAACGCUGAGACAGGUGCUGCAUGGCUGUCGUCAGCUCGUGUUGUGAAAUGUUGGGUUAAGUCCCGCAACGAGCGCAACCCUUAUCCUUUGUUGCCAGCGGUCCGGCCGGGAACUCAAAGGAGACUGCCAGUGAUAAACUGGAGGAAGGUGGGGAUGACGUCAAGUCAUCAUGGCCCUUACGAGUAGGGCUACACACGUGCUACAAUGGCGCAUACAAAGAGAAGCGACCUCGCGAGAGCAAGCGGACCUCAUAAAGUGCGUCGUAGUCCGGAUUGGAGUCUGCAACUCGACUCCAUGAAGUCGGAAUCGCUAGUAGUCGUAGAUCAGAAUGCUACGGUGAAUACGUUCCCGGGCCUUGUACACACCGCCCGUCACACCAUGGGAGUGGGUUGCAAAAGAAGUAGGUAGCUUAACCUUCGGGAGGGCGCUUACCACUUUGUGAUUCAUGACUGGGGUGAAGUCGUAACAAGGUAGGCGUAGCGAG
Molecule: ribosomal RNA, 525 nt
Filed under: uncultured bacterium
Lineage: Bacteria
Description: bacterial SSU rRNA
Rfam family: Bacterial small subunit ribosomal RNA
Source: RNAcentral